Musa acuminata AAA Group (dessert banana) is the source of this 440-nucleotide long non-coding RNA. RefSeq lists it as uncharacterized. Lineage: Eukaryota; Viridiplantae; Streptophyta; Magnoliopsida; Zingiberales; Musaceae. The record is from RefSeq and is a predicted model, not a curated record. The transcript has 2 exons.
UGUAAAUCAACAUCUGCAUCAUUACUGAAAGGAAUCUGAUCUCUGGAAGGUGCUUCAACAAAAACUUCACCCUCAGAUUUAUCCAGUAUUCCAAUAGCAAUGGAGUGCAAGUUCUCAUUUUUAGCCUUCUCAUCGAUGGAUGGCUUCCUCCACUCCAGCUUCAGCUGCCAUUGCAUCAGCUCAGGAGGAAUUUGGCUAGGGGAGCUUCUUCUUGGGAAAAGUAUGGAUGGGGCUCAAAAAGUAAGAGGCUUUUAUACUCCUCCAGACUCUUCAACUUCUGUUGGCUGUGGUUCCAAAUGCAACAGUGACAUCUAAUAAUGCUGCUGCAGUUCAUCAGUAUAAAACCUCUACUUAGUUCCUGUUCAUGCAGAAGCAAUUGUUGCCUUUUAUAAUGCAAACUACCAUGUUUCAAAAGUUUAUUAGCAAUGAGAUGAAAACUA